This is a long non-coding RNA of Cheilinus undulatus (humphead wrasse), 367 nucleotides long. RefSeq lists it as uncharacterized. NCBI's taxonomy places the organism in Eukaryota, Metazoa, Chordata, Actinopteri, Labriformes, Labridae. The record is from RefSeq and is a predicted model, not a curated record. The transcript has 3 exons.
UUUUCAUCUUCUCAAGCUGCACACACUGUCAGACAAAUUGACACCAUGCCAGGUCUCAUUCAGGCAAUGGCACUCCUUAAAAGUUGCUUUGCGAAGUAUGCUGGAAAAGAUGGAGACUGUAGCUCUUUGACCAAGGGAGAACUUGUAGAUCUGUUCCGUGAAGAGCUUGGCGUAAAUGUCAGUGGUCCAGCUGCGGACAAAAUCUUUGAUGAUCUGAACAGCGACAAGGACGGAGUUGUUGAUUUCAAGGAAUUUGUCAUUUUUGUGGCAGCUCUUGCUACAUGUAUGAAAUAAGUCUGUUUGCAUUGCUUUGCAAAUUUCUUUUACUUUUGUGCAGUUUGGACCAAAUAAAAUGUGGUAAAAUGUG